RNAcentral lists this ribosomal RNA (357 nucleotides) under Triticum aestivum (bread wheat). RNAcentral's name for it is "partial small subunit ribosomal RNA". The record is from RNAcentral. Lineage: Eukaryota; Viridiplantae; Streptophyta; Magnoliopsida; Poales; Poaceae.
AUGACUAAACCAAAGCGUGAGGGGAGGCUUGGGUUUCGAGAUAUGUGUAUUUUCAAUCAGGCUCUUCUCUCAAAACAAGCAUGGCGACUUGUCCAAAGACCUGAUAGUCUUUAUGCUAGGGUUAUAAAAGCUAAAUACUACCCAAAAGGAGAUUUGUUGGACACGGUCUUCACCUCUGAUGGAUCUCCCGUGUGGCAUGGAAUUGAAUAUGGGCUUGAACUCCUGAAAAAAGGUGUGGUCUGGAGACUGGGAAAUGGUAAGAGUAUCCAAAUCCUUCGUGACAACUGGAUACCUCGGCAAUCCGGCCUCUCCAUACAAUCCAUGAAAACUAGAAGCCGGCUUAGAUGGGUAAACUAG